CUCUAGUGGCCUAUUGGCCUCUAAGUGCCUUAUUUGGAACCUCUGUACAAGAACAGUUGUCAUGAAAGAAGACUGGGGAGGAGUGAAAUACGACUUGGUAAUGGCUGGAGAAUGAGUUGGGUACUGAAUCAGACCUCAGAGAAACCUAGGAGGCACAAUAGCAAGUUGAAGCACUAUCACUUGAUGGAUACUAGGAAAACCAAGUUGUAACUGUGUGAAUUAAAUAUCUGGGGGACCUCCAACCUACUCCA
This 251-nucleotide long non-coding RNA is filed under the name Monodelphis domestica (gray short-tailed opossum). RNAcentral describes it as "lncRNA (ENSMODG00000036955.1)". Lineage: Eukaryota; Metazoa; Chordata; Mammalia; Didelphimorphia; Didelphidae. The record is from RNAcentral.